RNAcentral lists this ribosomal RNA (670 nucleotides) under uncultured Alphaproteobacteria bacterium. RNAcentral's name for it is "bacterial SSU rRNA". It matches the Rfam family "Bacterial small subunit ribosomal RNA", at positions 67 to 767 of the family's 1533-position model. The record is from RNAcentral. Lineage: Bacteria; Pseudomonadati; Pseudomonadota; Alphaproteobacteria.
CGGAGGCCCGGAGCUUGCUCCGGAUCCCUUAGUGGCGAACGGGUGAGUAUCGCGUGGGAAUCUACCUAAAAAUGGGGAAUAACUGUUGGAAACGACAGCUAAUACCGCAUAAUCCCUUCGGGGCAAAGGCUUCGGCCGUUUUUAGAUGAGCCCGCGUUAGAUUAGGCUGUUGGUGAGGUAAUGGCUCACCAAACCUACAAUCUAUAGCUGGUCUGAGAGGAUGAUCAGCCACACUGGGACUGAGACACGGCCCAGACUCCUACGGGAGGCAGCAGUGGGGAAUAUUGGACAAUGGGGGAAACCCUGAUCCAGCAAUGCCGCGUGAGUGAUGAUGGCCCUAGGGUUGUAAAGCUCUUUCAGAAGUGAAGAUGAUGACGGUAACUUCAGAAGAAGCUCCGGCUAACUCCGUGCCAGCAGCCGCGGUAAUACGGAGGGAGCUAGCGUUGUUCGGAAUUACUGGGCGUAAAGGGCGUGUAGGCUGUUUGAUUAGUCAGAGGUGAAAUCCCUAAGCUCAACUUAGGAACUGCCUUUGAUACUAUCAUACUAGAGAUCGAGAGAAGUUAGCGGAAUUCCAAGUGUAGAGGUGAAAUUCGUAGAUAUUUGGAAGAACACCUGUGGCGAAAGCGGCUAACUGGCUCGUUUCUGACGCUGAGACGCGAAAGCGUGGGUA